Molecule: ribosomal RNA, 433 nt
Filed under: uncultured bacterium
Lineage: Bacteria
Description: partial 16S ribosomal RNA
Rfam family: Bacterial small subunit ribosomal RNA
Source: RNAcentral
AGCGAACGCUGGCGGCAGGCUUAACACAUGCAAGUCGAGCGGGCCUUUCGGGGUCAGCGGCGGACGGGUGAGUAACGCGUGGGAACGUGCCCUCUGGUUCGGAAUAACUCAGGGAAACUUGAGCUAAUACCGGAUACGCCCUUUUGGGGAAAGGCUUGCUGCCGGAGGAUCGGCCCGCGUCUGAUUAGCUAGUUGGUGAGGUAACGGCUCACCAAGGCGACGAUCAGUAGCUGGUCUGAGAGGAUGAUCAGCCACACUGGGACUGAGACACGGCCCAGACUCCCACGGGAGGCAGCAGUGGGGAAUAUUGGACAAUGGGCGCAAGCCUGAUCCAGCCAUGCCGCGUGAGUGAUGAAGGCCUUAGGGUUGUAAAGCUCUUUUAUCCGGGACGAUAAUGACGGUACCGGAGGAAUAAGCCCCGGCUAACUUCGUG